Molecule: long non-coding RNA, 1280 nt
Filed under: Equus asinus (donkey)
Lineage: Eukaryota; Metazoa; Chordata; Mammalia; Perissodactyla; Equidae
Description: lncRNA (ENSEASG00005030188.1)
Source: RNAcentral
GGUGGGUUUUGUAGCCACCGCAAGGGGGAGACCGAGGCGGGGGGCUAUGCAGGGCUGGUUGUAUGUCCUGGAGCCGGCUGGCACAGCCUGGGGGAGGGCCUUGGUAAUGCCGUGUCUAGAUGGCAUGUGGAAGGAGCAGGACUUCGCCUCCUGCCCGGGGUCUGCAUUUCAUCUCCAGCUCCGGCGACUCACCCCUGCAUACCGGCCCCCUCCUGAGGCUGGACCAGCUGCCUUUCCGUCUAGGUGAGGGCCAGGUACACUGGCCGAGUGCCAUCAAUUCUGCACAUUAAUGCAGUAAAUCGAGUUAGAGAAGCCUGUAUUCCAGAAGAAAAUGCUCUAGUCUGAGAUAUCAGUCUGUGUAAAAGAUUCGAAAACUGAAAAUUAGACAAGGAACCUGAAUUGCAGCGCCAAGAGAGAAGUAUGGAUUCCAGAUGUUGAUUUUGGAAUCAUCAGUAGAGGAUGUUUACUGAAACAUGUGAACGGAAGUGUUUUCUCCAGAAGAGAGAUUAAAGAAUGAAAAUAGAGGUCUAUGGGGAGAGAAUCCUUGAAAGGAAACUGAGAAGUACUGAAGAAAGUUGUAUGUAUGUAGGAGGAAACCCAGAUGAGAGUCGUGUCCGAAAAACUGCGAGAGAAGGAGUUGAGGAAGGGGAGGGAGUGGCCCAUAUGUCACAGGCUGGAGAGAAACCUUCAGAAAUAAAAACUGAAAUGUGGCCCAUGUAUUUCAUGAAUUUAGCAGCUAGGUCUCUGGGUCCGUGGCAGAAGCAGUUUCCUGAACUGGUGGAGACAGUCAGCUUACAAGGCACCAAGGAGUGAACAGAACAUGCAAUGAUAGGAAAUAAGAACCUUUGUUCCUAAGGAUAAAAAGAUAAGGUCGUAUCCAGAGGUGGGACUGUGGAUUGUCAAUGUUGUUGUUUUAAGAAGGCAAAUAUUUGAGUAUGCUUAUGAAAGAAAAGGCUAUUGUGGUGAGGGGGAGGUUGAAAUGGCAGGGUAUGGGAGUGAGAGCCUAACAAUGGAUUUCGUUAUCUACAGUAAAGCUGUGCAUUGUGGUCGGCAGAGCCAUGCCAGCCCAUGAACUGGGAAUUACUGAUCUGAGACAUGAUAAAUAUGGAAGUGCAAAAUAAACAUUUAGAAAUGUUUAUAGCUAUUCGACAGAGUUAUUUGAUACCUUUGAAUCUAAAUAUUUAAAAACUAGGAGCUUGCAUUUUAUACAUCCUUCUUUGGUCAUUGUUGCUUUUCUAGUGGUUCACUUUUAUGACGUUUUACAAAAACAUAAAACAAAC